CAGCAGCCGCGGGAAUACGAAGGGUGCAAGCGUUACUCGGAAUUACUGGGCGUAAAGCGUGUGUAGGUGGUUGUUUAAGUCUGUCGUGAAAGCCCUGGGCUCAACCUGGGAAUUGCGAUGGAUACUGGGCGACUAGAGUGCGGUAGAGGAUAGUGGAAUUUCCGGUGUAGCAGUGAAAUGCGUAGAGAUCGGAAGGAACAUCUGUGGCGAAGGCGACUAUCUGGGCCAACACUGACACUGAGACACGAAAGCGUGGGGAGCAAACAGGAUUAGAUACCCCAGUAGUCCCUGUCUCUUAUAC
RNAcentral lists this ribosomal RNA (301 nucleotides) under uncultured bacterium. RNAcentral describes it as "partial 16S ribosomal RNA". It matches the Rfam family "Bacterial small subunit ribosomal RNA", at positions 509 to 807 of the family's 1533-position model. The record is from RNAcentral.